Long non-coding RNA from Mauremys reevesii (Reeves's turtle), 269 nucleotides. RefSeq lists it as uncharacterized. Lineage: Eukaryota; Metazoa; Chordata; Testudines; Geoemydidae. The transcript has 3 exons. The record is from RefSeq and is a predicted model, not a curated record.
GAGCAUUUAGAUCUGCAAUGGAAAUUUAACCAUUGACUUCUGUGGACUAGAGAUAAACCAAUGGAUACAACGAAAAGGAGAAAGUGCCUAGAAAAUGCAGCAGGCCAAAAGAUCAUGUUUAACACUGAUGUACACAGAAAUAAGUGAGGUAUUCCAAGAUGCUUCUCUACAUGCCCCGGGCUCUCUGUGGAUUUCUAGUCUUCUCCAUGGGCACUGUCAAUGUAAAAACAUCACCCUGUUCACAUGUGUACAAAUAAAAUAUCUAGUUG